Acanthosepion pharaonis is the source of this 111-nucleotide non-coding RNA. The record is from the annotation of a GenBank genome assembly. NCBI's taxonomy places the organism in Eukaryota, Metazoa, Mollusca, Cephalopoda, Sepiida, Sepiidae.
AUGGCCAUAUCACAAUGAAACACUGGUCCUCAUAUGAUCACUGAAGUUAAGCAAUGUCAAUCCUGGUCCAUACCAAGAUGGGUGACCACUUGGGAAUACCAGGUGCUGUAA